UUAUGAGAUCUUGUUUCUUGGCGCUUCCUUAUGAGAUAGCCUCAUGGCAGUUUCUUGUAGUUCUAGUGAAUGCUGGAGGUGAUGACUGGUGUCCUGGGGCGGCCCUAAAGGGUUCGUUAUGCUUUUGAUGUGAACAAGAAAAUGUGAACUGGUCUUGAUCUGGAGACUUUGUAAAACCUGAUUGGGCGCUUUAUACCAUCAGCAACGGACUUUUGGGUUCCCCUGUCACUGGUCGACUAGGUAGCUCUCUAUAGGGCGCCGGGGCUUCUUUUUGCCAUUGGGAAUUAUGUUAACCAGCGUCUUUUGAAGCGAUUGGUUGGCUCAAGUUAUUCAGAGGUCACCAUGUGAAGGUACCUUCGAUCAACUGAAGCCGCUCAAGAGGCUCGAAGGGGC
This 393-nucleotide long non-coding RNA is filed under the name Musa acuminata (dwarf banana). RNAcentral describes it as "long non-coding RNA (MACU_LNC007091)". Lineage: Eukaryota; Viridiplantae; Streptophyta; Magnoliopsida; Zingiberales; Musaceae. The record is from RNAcentral.